This 253-nucleotide ribosomal RNA is filed under the name uncultured bacterium. Its description in RNAcentral is "partial 16S ribosomal RNA". It matches the Rfam family "Bacterial small subunit ribosomal RNA", at positions 524 to 776 of the family's 1533-position model. The record is from RNAcentral.
UACGGAGGGUGCAAGCGUUAUUCGGAAUUACUGGGCGUAAAGCGCACGUAGGCGGCUUGGUAAGUCAGGGGUGAAAUCCCACAGCUCAACUGUGGAACUGCCCUUGAAACUGCAAAGCUUGAAUCCUGGAGAGGGUGGCGGAAUUCCUGGUGUAGGAGUGAAAUCCGUAGAUAUCAGGAGGAACACCGGUGGCGAAGGCGGCCACCUGGACAGGUAUUGACGCUGAGGUGCGAAAGUGUGGGGAGCAAACAGG